AAGUUAUUUCAAAGAGAGACUGUGGGAUUCUGAAACCAAGAGCUCUUAACACAAGGUUUCAAAAUUGAAGAUCUGGCACCAAA
Molecule: small nucleolar RNA, 83 nt
Filed under: Panthera pardus (leopard)
Lineage: Eukaryota; Metazoa; Chordata; Mammalia; Carnivora; Felidae
Description: Small nucleolar RNA SNORA25 (ENSPPRG00000016920.1)
Source: RNAcentral